GAUGAACGCUGGCGGCGUGCCUAAUACAUGCAAGUAGAACGCUGAAGGAAGGAGCUUGCUCUUUCCGGAUGAGUUGCGAACGGGUGAGUAACGCGUAGGUAACCUGCCUGGUAGCGGGGGAUAACUAUUGGAAACGAUAGCUAAUACCGCAUAACAGAAGAUGUUGCAUGAUAUCUACUUAAAAGAUGCAAUUGCACCACUACCAGAUGGACCUGCGUUGUCUUAGCUAGUUGGUGAGGUAACGGCUCACCAAGGCGACGAUACAUAGCCGACCUGAGAGGGGGAUCGGCCACACUGGGACUGGGACAAGGCCCAGACUCCUACGGGAGGCAGCAGUAGGGAAUCUUCGGCAAUGGACGGAAGGCUGACCGGGCAACGCCGGGUGAGGGGAGAAGGUUUUCGGAUCGGAAAGCUCUGUUGUAAGAGAAGAAAGAGGGUGGGAGUGGAAAGUGCACACUGUGACGGUAUCUAACCAGAAAGGGACGGCUAACUACGUG
This 497-nucleotide ribosomal RNA is filed under the name uncultured bacterium. Its description in RNAcentral is "partial 16S ribosomal RNA". It matches the Rfam family "Bacterial small subunit ribosomal RNA", at positions 28 to 507 of the family's 1533-position model. The record is from RNAcentral.